Molecule: transfer RNA, 63 nt
Filed under: Fukomys damarensis (Damara mole-rat)
Lineage: Eukaryota; Metazoa; Chordata; Mammalia; Rodentia; Bathyergidae
Rfam family: tRNA
About the family: Transfer RNA (tRNA) molecules are approximately 80 nucleotides in length. Their secondary structure includes four short double-helical elements and three loops (D, anti-codon, and T loops). Further hydrogen bonds mediate the characteristic L-shaped molecular structure. tRNAs have two regions of fundamental functional importance: the anti-codon, which is responsible for specific mRNA codon recognition, and the 3' end, to which the tRNAs corresponding amino acid is attached (by aminoacyl-tRNA synthetases). tRNAs cope with the degeneracy of the genetic code in two manners: having more than one tRNA (with a specific anti-codon) for a particular amino acid; and 'wobble' base-pairing, i.e. permitting non-standard base-pairing at the 3rd anti-codon position.
Source: Rfam by way of RNAcentral
GUGUAGCUCAGCAGUACAGUGUUUGCCUAGCAUGCAACAGGCCCUGGGUUCAAUCCCCAGCAC